GACGAACGCUGGCGGCGUGCUUAACACAUGCAAGUCGAGCGGUAAGGCCCUUUCGGGGUACGACGAGCGGCGAACGGGUGAGUAACACGUGGGUGACCUGCCCUCAGCUCUGGGAUAAGCCUGGGAAACUGGGUCUAAUACCGGAUAUGACUCCAUGACGCAUGUUGUGGGGUGGAAAGCCUUGUGCGGCUGAGGAUGGGCCCGCGGCCUAUCAGCUUGUUGGUGGGGUGANGGCCUACCAAGGCGACGACGGGUAGCCGGCCUGAGAGGGCGACCGGCC
RNAcentral lists this ribosomal RNA (280 nucleotides) under uncultured bacterium. Its description in RNAcentral is "partial 16S ribosomal RNA". It matches the Rfam family "Bacterial small subunit ribosomal RNA", at positions 28 to 309 of the family's 1533-position model. The record is from RNAcentral.